Molecule: non-coding RNA, 67 nt
Organism: Phrynosoma platyrhinos (Desert horned lizard)
Lineage: Eukaryota; Metazoa; Chordata; Lepidosauria; Squamata; Phrynosomatidae
Source: the annotation of a GenBank genome assembly
GAGCCAAACCAUAGUGGUUUGAGUGUCAGACUACGACCCUGAAGAUCAGGGUUCAAUUCCCUGCUCA